This 2237-nucleotide ribosomal RNA is filed under the name Anurida maritima. Its description in RNAcentral is "eukaryotic LSU rRNA". It matches the Rfam family "Eukaryotic large subunit ribosomal RNA", at positions 1 to 2829 of the family's 3401-position model. Lineage: Eukaryota; Metazoa; Arthropoda; Collembola; Poduromorpha; Neanuridae. The record is from RNAcentral.
UUCGUGGCGUGGAAGGACGCAUAUGACGGCGAUACUGGCGCAGCAUCUAAUGUGUGCCGUUUCCGAAGUUGGCUACUCCCUCAACUUAAGCAUAUCAAUAGGGGACGGAGAAGAAACAAACAUGGAUUCCCUUAGUAGUGGCGAAUGAAGCGGGAGCUGUCCGGAUGGCAAGCCGCUAGGCGUUGUAGACAGAUGUAACGAAGUGGCAUGGAAGUGCACACGACACAGGGUGAGAGUCCCGUCGAUAUUUGUAAUUUGAGAGUAACGCUGCUUGGUACUGCAGCGCGAAGGGGUGGUUGGACCAUCCAAGACUAAAUAUACGCGAACACCGAUAGUGGACAAGUACUGCGAAGGAAAGACGACAGCUCAUGAGGGCUGAUGAUUGAAAUCAGGAGCACGGAAGGCAAUUGAUUGCACCCGUCUUGAAACACGGACCAAGGAGUGCAGUGGGCCAGCAAGUAUUCUGUACAGACUACACGAUGCGCAGCGAAGGCUAUGCAGCUGGUGUACUGCGACCCGAUAGAUAGUGAACUAUGCCUGGUCUAGAUGAAGUCCGGGGAAACUCUGAUGGAAGUCUUAAGCCGUUCUGACGUUCAAUUCGAUGGCAUGAACUGGGUAUAGGGGCGAAAGACCAAUCGAACUAUCUGGUAGCUGGUUCCUUCCGAAAUGUCUCUCAGGACAGCGCCUGGAUGUAUGUAACCUUGUGUAGAGUAUGAACUCAUUUGUUCUGAAACUGCGAAGCAGGGAGUGGCGUUGCUUUGAUGAACGCCUGGAUAAUAGACUGGGUAGUGGGCUGAUGCUAGUAAGUAGCGUUGGCGAAGAGGGAUGAACCUGUUGGCGAGAUAAGAUCUCCAAGCAAAAGGCAGUGAAACCAGUAAAGAGGCAGAUGAAUCUAGACAGUGGGGCGGUGGCCAUAGAAGUUGGAAUCCGCUAAGAAACGUGUUACAACGUACCUACCGAAUUCAACUGUUCUGAAAAUGGACGAGGCUAUACUUUUGCAUCGAUUCUCGUCACGCUUUGCGUAGUAGGAAGGCAUGGAGGGUGUGCAGAAGCACGCGGGUGACUGUGUGUGGAACAGCCUCCAGAGCAGAUCUUGGUGGUAGUAGCGACAAUUUCAGAAUGAAACACCGAAGAGGAGAAGGGUUAUUUCUACGAAAUGUUAGCCGGGAAGGUAAGGAAAGCUGCGGCUGCCCGAAACCCGAGCCUGUUAGUAUUCAGGCGCUUAUGAAUGGCGACAGACGCGCGGUGCACUGUGGGCUUCGGUUGUGCAGCAGCUGUCGUUUGCUGUGGUCUGUAUUUGUAGGGAGCGUUAUGCAGCGAGCUACACUGUGAAGACACAAUAUACUGUUUGGUAUAACACAAUGCUCGGCACGCACCGUGAAGAUGCACCGUGCUUGAUCCCGUACCUAGUCCGAAACAGGUCUCCAAGGCUAGCAGCCUCUGGUGUUAGAAGUAAAGUAAGUAAGGGAAUUCGGCAAAAUGGAUUUGUAACUUCGGGAGAAGGAUUGGCUCUAUUUAUAGAACUGUGUUUGGCAAGGGGAAUCUGACUGUUUAGUAAAAACAUAGCUUUAUGUAUGUGCAUAAAGUGAAUUCUGCCCAGUGCUCGAAAUGUCAAGCUGUCGAAGGGCAGUAACGCACGGGUUAACGGCGGACGUAACUAUGACGUUCUUAAGGUAGCCAAAUGCCUCGUCAUCUAAUUAGUGACGCGCAUGAAUGGAUCAACUAGAUUCCCACUGUCCCUACUUACUUCUAGUGAAACCACAGCCAAGGGAACGGGCUUGGCAAACUUAGCGGGGAAAGAAGACCCUGUUGAGCUUGACUCUAGUCUGACUUUGUGAAGAAUCAUGAGAGGUGUAGCAUAAGUGGGAGGUCGCUUGCGGCCAAAAGUGAAAUACCACUACUCUUAUCGAUUCCUUACUUAUUCGGUGAAACGGGAUUGAGCAAUUAAUUUGUUCUUGUUUUUGGUGUUAAGACUGCUCGCUCAGCGAGCAGUCAACCCGCGUCGAUGACAGUGUCAGGCGGGGAGUUUGACUGGGGCGGUACAUCUGUCAAACUGUAACGCAGGUGUCCUAAGGCGAGCUCAGAGAGGACGGAAACCUCUCGUAGAGCAAAAAGGUAAAAGCUUACUUGAUCUUGAUUUUCAGUACGAAUACAGACCGCGAAAGCGUGGCUUAUCGAUCCUUUUGAAUUAUAAAGUUUUCUAGUAAGAGGUGUCAGAAAAGUUACCACAGGGAUAA